ACUUCCUAGGCCACGCCACGCCGCUCCACCAGCUCAGGGAACCCCCUUGGCCGUGCAGACCUGCGCCACAGGGUCGUUUCCUCCCCUCCUUCCCUCGAAAGCGUAUGCAUUUCGUUGCCCCUGGAACUGGGGUCAUUUCAGGACCUCCCAAGGAGGGUCAGGAUGGUGGUAUUGGCCUUAGGGGACGCGGGCUCAGGUUGGCGGUUGAACCGCAUGUUCCUGUUUCAAACAAACCUAAAUGUAGGCCUGGAAGGCUGUGCACUGAAAUCCUAGUAUUAGGUUGGUGCAAAAUUAAUUGCGAUUUUUGCCAUUGUAGGUUGUCUGCAGAGUGAGAUUAUGGCGAAGCAUUUUAUUCUUUUUACAAACCUGCUUUUUCUCAGUUUUCCACAUUGGAUUUGCCAGCUACCUGCCUUUGCAGGACACCUCAGAAGUUACAGACUUGCCUGUGGAAAUGCAGAGAGCACCUGAGGUAUUUCCCGGACUCUCCAGUAGUAGCCUUGAAUGGCUGACCAACCGCAGUCACCUGCCAGAUCUUCUCAGAACCGGCCAGCCCACCAGCGACAGGCCCAUUAAGUGGCCUGGCCCAGCCCAGAUGGAAAACCCCCUCCACGUGACUUUCUAAAGAACAUGCAUGAAGACAAAACACCAGGUGCCUCAGGUAACCCUUGUUUGCAGGAAGAUAAAUAAGAAGGCUUCCUUAGGAUACUGAC
RNAcentral lists this long non-coding RNA (710 nucleotides) under Homo sapiens (human). RNAcentral's name for it is "HSALNT0361287". The record is from RNAcentral. Lineage: Eukaryota; Metazoa; Chordata; Mammalia; Primates; Hominidae.